CCGUGGAAUAGAAUCGGUAGGCAUGGUAUAGGGGGGGCUUCCCCUAGUCGCUUGCUCCAUCGUGUCGUGGUGAACUGGUGAACUGCCCGUAUAGCGGGAGCCGAGCCAAGGCGGCAGGGGCGGCCGGAGGCGGGGGCCGAGCCCAGGCGGCAGGGGCGUCCGGCGGCGGGGGCCGAGCCUCUAUACGGGCUCGGCCCCCCCCCCCCCCCCCCCCCCCCCCCUAUACGGGCUCGGCCGGAGGCGGGGGCCGAGCCCAGGCGGCAGGGGUGGGUUUAUCGCUUAUUUCCGCUAAUACGCGGGAUAAGCGGGUACAAACAGGGCCCUAGUCGCUUGCUCCAUCGUGUCGUGGUGAACUGGUGAUGGGUAAGUCGUAGGUGAGCCAGCCGCAGUUAUUUUCGAUCUCAUGUUUGUUUUGUCGAUUGGUUGAUCAGGUGCGCGGGCUAGCCGGAUAGAUUGGGUUGCUUGUACUUUGCGGUGCUCGAUCCGUUCGAUUCCAGGUCUAGGUUGGAUGAUUCCCCUGCUUCCCCCAGGAUCCCUCUGUUUGGGGAAAUAGUUUUGUGUUGAUUUGUGACUAAUUACUAUUUGUUGAUAUCUAAGGUUCUGCAGCUCUUUUAUUUCGAUUUCUGUUCAAGGUCAGAUCGGUUUUAAUUGGGUAGCACGGAAAAUUUGGCUUGGCCGAAACAGGAUAACCUGAAGGGUUUGGUCUGGAUCUGUCUUUGGUUUGCAUGAUGAUUGGUCUGAUCAGGAUAAUUUGUUCGUACGCCUAAUUUUUGUGAUGGAAACUGUACCUGAUACUUGUUAUUGGAAUAUGGAGGCAAGUGGAGUGCUCAGAAUUCUACGGUUUUUGCAUUUGGCAUGUUCCUCUCAUGGUAGUCAGUCUCAUCAGAAGGUUUAGUUAUGAUAAGAUAUGGCUGCGUAGGUGUGUUUGGAAUUUACAAGUAUAUGGUGUCAAUUUGCUGUUUAUUUCGGCAAGCAGUAUUGGUCGGCUUAUUUGGUGCUGGUUGUGAGGUGUAUACAGAUCCAUGCACUGUAUGAAUCAUGGAUUCAUGGUUGCAUAGCGAUGCUUUAUUUGGCUGUUAGAACAAGAUUUUGAUUCAGUACUAUUGACAUACUCAUGAAGGUGGCUUGUUGUUCUAUCAUUAUCAAAUUGUUGUUCUAUCAUUAUCAAAUAGUCAGCUCAAUUGAAAGGUUCAUUUCAAGGAAAUUCAGAAUGUGGGUUUUAUAAUUGCUAUAUCUGUGCAGUGUAGUUUAGUGCUAGCUACAUGUGAAGCCAUCUGCUGGAAGAUUCUUCUAAGUACUAUUCUUGCUUUGAGGGCCAUGGAUGUAUGCUCUAAGUUGUGGUUUUCUUACUGAUGUGCUACUGAUGUGCUACUGAUGCGUGUUUAUCUGGUGGUACCUUAAGGUCUUCUGUCAGAUUAUGGUGUAGUGCUUUGGUCUGAAUCUCCUAGUCCUCUGGUGAUACUUCAGUCACAUUGUUUUGAAUGAAUCUUGGAUUUGCGGACUCUACUAGAUUUCAGCUUCUUAUCAUCUUAUGUUCCUUCAGUUACUGGACCAUGUGCCGGUUUCAGUGCCAGCUUCCUUCUGUUGUAACUUAUGUUUGUAUGUGUACUGUUAACCAAGCAUCUUCUCUAUGUCGGGAGUUGUAUUUGUGUAAUUUCAGUAUAGAAGGAUUUGUUGUAACCACUAUGUAUUAUUAACAUCUGGUUGUUUUGCAUAAUUCUUGGAGCAAUAGAAUUCUAACCUGAACUCUGUUUCAAAAGGUGGUGCUAGGCGGAGCAACGGCGCCUCGCCUAGCACUGUAAUGAACAAACAGCGGAGAUAGUGUAAAAUCCAGAUUUGAAAUACACUGUAGUUGGAAAAAAACAUUAAUUUCCAUUCAUAUUUAGGUCCUUAUUGAGGUCUGUUUAUGGAGUUAUGUAACCAACUUUUAACAAUUCUGAUGCAAUAUGUGUUGUAAUGAAUCAUACCUCAAGAUGUGUAUAGUAUGCAUUGUAAUGAAUCAUACCUCUAGCUGUGCACAGUUAAGAAAUCGUAUCUCUUUUAGUAUUGUAGAAAUAACUGCUUAGUUUUUAAGUAAACAUACAUCUUCUCGUUGCAAUAAAGCACUCUAUUUUAUUGAAUCUUCUUCACUAGUUUGCUUGUGCUGUCUAUCUACGCAUAUUGUGGCCAUAUUAGUUAUUUCUUGGCUGCAGGGGUUUAUUUUAAUUAG
RNAcentral lists this long non-coding RNA (2209 nucleotides) under Setaria viridis. RNAcentral describes it as "long non-coding RNA (SVIR_LNC008608)". Lineage: Eukaryota; Viridiplantae; Streptophyta; Magnoliopsida; Poales; Poaceae. The record is from RNAcentral.